Molecule: non-coding RNA, 45 nt
Filed under: Schistosoma haematobium
Lineage: Eukaryota; Metazoa; Platyhelminthes; Trematoda; Strigeidida; Schistosomatidae
Source: RNAcentral
ACUUAGCUGACAAGUCACAAAUAGGACGUAACGCGCGUCCUGGAU